RNAcentral lists this small RNA (325 nucleotides) under Vigna angularis var. angularis. RNAcentral describes it as "Non-protein coding transcript". Lineage: Eukaryota; Viridiplantae; Streptophyta; Magnoliopsida; Fabales; Fabaceae. The record is from RNAcentral.
CACAACUCUAGCUAAAUUUAGGUUAAUAGCUUAAUUAUGCUUACUUUGUAUAUCAUUAAGUAGAUAACAAUUUCAAGAACUGUUUACUGAAUUGAAUCAAUGACACGUUUUUCUCCUCUGUUUCCAUUUUAAUUUUUAUGAACUUGAUGAAUAGCCAGAGCAACUAUUUCACUGAAAUGGCUCCAUAGCGAGGCUUUGGCUUAAACCCGUGCUAGAGGAGCAUCACAAGCAUUAGAUCGUCAAAUUGAACUUGACUUACUUAUCAGUCCAAAGGAUGACAUUGAGUUUACCAUAGUGAGAGACACCAUAAGAAGAAAAGUAGAGG